Molecule: ribosomal RNA, 481 nt
Filed under: uncultured bacterium
Lineage: Bacteria
Description: bacterial SSU rRNA
Rfam family: Bacterial small subunit ribosomal RNA
Source: RNAcentral
GAUGAACGCUGGCGGCGUGCCUAACACAUGCAAGUCGAACGGAACUUUUACGGAUUGAGACUUCGGUCGAUUGAGGUUUAAGUUUAGUGGCGGACGGGUGAGUAACGCGUGAGUAACCUGCCUUUCACAGGGGGAUAACGUUUGGAAACGAACGCUAAUACCGCAUAACAUAUGGGAUUCGCAUGUUUUCCAUAUCAAAGAUUUAUCGCUUAAAGAUGGGCUCGCGUCUGAUUAGCUAGUUGGUGAGGUAACGGCUCACCAAGGCGACGAUCAGUAGCCGGCCUGAGAGGGUGGACGGCCACAUUGGGACUGAGACACGGCCCAAACUCCUACGGGAGGCAGCAGUGGGGAAUAUUGCCACAAUGGGGGAAACCCUGAUGCAGCGACGCCGCGUGAGUGAAGAAGUAUUUCGGUAUGUAAAGCUCUAUCAGCAGGGAAGAAAAUGACGGUACCUGACUAAGAAGCACCGGCUAAANACGUG